Domibacillus antri is the source of this 144-nucleotide non-coding RNA. Lineage: Bacteria; Bacillati; Bacillota; Bacilli; Caryophanales; Bacillaceae. The record is from Rfam.
UAUAUAUGUACAUUUGUACCGUAGACAGCAGGGGCUUACGCUUAAUCAUCCUGCCGAGGACAUGCGAAAUAGAUAGUGCGACAUUUUUGUCCGCUUUUCGUGCCUCUAUGUCUUCCGGGACAUAGAGGCUUUUUACGUUUCCCG